CCUCCUUAUAUUUUCCUUAAUUUUGUCAGUAGGGUCAAAUACUUUCUGUGGCACACAUCAGAGUCAAAUACUUGCUAGAGAACAAACUUCACUUCAGGACAGGCAACCGAAAUUAAUAAUAAAUGUAUGUGUGUUAUAUUAAACAUAGAGGAGGGAUUGACAGCUUCCUUGAAGGACACAAAUAAAAAAUGCAUUCUGCUACUAAGAUCAGUGAAAACUGAUAACGGAGUGAAAAGCAGAAAUCUCAACUAGCAAGCAAGUCGCAGCAAUGAAGAAUUGAGUGUGUGCGCGUCCACCCAAAGGGAGGAAGAAUUAUGUCGGGGGAGAUUUUCGGUACACCUGUUACCUUCAGAUAAAUUCCCUGGGUCGAAGAGUAAAACGGAGAACUCCAUCGUGUUCGUAAGAGUCUCCCCUUUCCAUAGGUUUUAAUACGAUAAAAUAUCUAAUUUUAUGAGAAACGGCAGAGAAUGGGUGGUUCUGUGUAGCCUAGUUAUGAUAAUAUAGGCUAUUUGACCAAUGCACUGCAGUUAAUUUCGUCUUUGACCUAAUAAGUCAAAUAUAUUUGAGUGUAUUUGAGUAGUAAACAGGUAAACAACAACGAGUCCUAGACAGUUUGCAAUAGAACAUACCAGAGGGGGGCAUUGUUUACUAGGCUACUUAAAUUAUUGGGAGCAUCUGGUUACCAGCAGUGUUCAGAACACAUUGAGUUUAUGACAAAACAGAUCAGAGGACACCUUUUCACACAGAGAUGUAUUUAUAGCAGUGAAUGUCAUGUAUUUCUAAGUAGCAGCCAUAUCAGGCAGGGAAACUAAUUGUUCACAUUUUGAUAGAACAUUCCAAUUUUACAGCUUGACGGUGGCACUCUUUAGCCUACCUGCAUUGUUAGGAUGUUCAUGUGAUCACAACAAAACUACUUAUUGGGCUCAAAUAGAGAUAUAAUUUUUCUUUGAAAAAAUAGGCUUGGCUGAGAAAAGAAGAUUCAGUUUUCUGACCGAGUGUGGCGCCGAUUACAACAAUUUUCUGGAUUCUCUCGUGACCAGAACAAAACUACCUAUUUUACUAGAGAAUGAAAUAAAUGGUGUUUCUUUGAAGAUAUGGGCCUGGCUGACAUUAACUGUUUUCUCACCUUAUUCUCCUUAAGGUGAUCCAUGGUUGUUGGUUAUUUACCAGCUAAGAAGAAGUGAAAAUGAAACAAGGACUGAAGCAAUAGACACCUUAUUUUACAUAAGAGAUUUAAAUUAAUGUUGUUUCUUUGAAAAGGAGGGCCUGGCUGACAUGAAAAAUGCAUUAAAGGGAAAGGAUCCACAGACACACAGGCUGAUUAUCUUCCCGCACAUCUCUUCAUUUACCAUGCUGGCUGCCAUGGUUAACACAAACGCAGGACAUUGAAUGCUACCUGAAUUGACUCAGAAAAGUAACAUAAGUAGGCCUACAGUAUCACAGCGAGGUCAAACAGGGCCUGAGGCUCUGGGACCGUGACUGAGGACACCCUGGCCUGAUACCUCAACAUGCCUGGCCCAAUCCAAGCUGGCCACACUCUACCUCCUACCUGCCUGUUACCAUGACGACUUUGUGAAAAGCGAUCUGACCAUAGGGUCUUGAAUGUAUGCUUUUAUACAGCCUAUAUCUGUGUAUUACAGCAGUCAAAUAGAAAACUGGAAGUGUGACUUCUUUCCCUAAUGAUUUCCUAUGGCUGAGGUAUUUUGUUAGUUAUCAGGUAUUUCAUACCAAGGCUAAAUGAGCCUGAAUGGCAACAACACCAGACACAAAUGCAAUGCACCUAAUUAAUCUCAUUGUUAAAUGACUGUUCAGUCUGUUGAAUAUUCCAUUAAUGAAAAUAUGGAUUUGUUGGCUGAAUUAAGGUUUUAUUAAAACUUCAAAAAGGUCACACACAAUACGGUACAUUUAUAAAAUAAAUUUACAAGAAAAGUAAUUUACAA
Long non-coding RNA from Oncorhynchus keta (chum salmon), 1940 nucleotides. RefSeq lists it as uncharacterized. The transcript is spliced from 2 exons. The record is from RefSeq and is a predicted model, not a curated record. Lineage: Eukaryota; Metazoa; Chordata; Actinopteri; Salmoniformes; Salmonidae.